RNAcentral lists this ribosomal RNA (253 nucleotides) under uncultured bacterium. RNAcentral's name for it is "partial 16S ribosomal RNA". It matches the Rfam family "Bacterial small subunit ribosomal RNA", at positions 524 to 776 of the family's 1533-position model. The record is from RNAcentral.
UACGAAGGGUGCAAGCGUUGUUCGGAAUCAUUGGGCGUAAAGCGCGCGCAGGCGGAUCAGUAAGUCAGGUGUGAAAUCUCGGAGCUCAACUCCGAAACUGCGCCUGAAACUACUAGUCUAGAAUGUCGGAGGGGGCAGGGGAAUUUCACGUGUAGGGGUAAAAUCCGUAGAGAUGUGAAGGAACACCGGGGGCGAAGGCGCCUGCCUGGACGACUAUUGACGCUGAGGCGCGAAAGCGUGGGGAGCAAACAGG